RNAcentral lists this ribosomal RNA (253 nucleotides) under uncultured bacterium. RNAcentral's name for it is "partial 16S ribosomal RNA". It matches the Rfam family "Bacterial small subunit ribosomal RNA", at positions 524 to 776 of the family's 1533-position model. The record is from RNAcentral.
UACAGGGGGGGCAAGCGUUGUUCGGAAUUACUGGGCGUAAAGGGCCAGUAGGCGGCCAACUAAGUCACACGUGAAAUCCCCAGGCUUAACCUGGGAACUGCGUGUGAUACUGGAUGGCUUGAAUUCGGGAGAGGGAUGCAGAAUUCCAGGUGUAGCGGUGAAAUGCGUAGAUAUCAGGAGGAACACCAAUUGCGAAGGCAGCUCGCUGGGACGUUACUGACGCUGAUGCGCGAAAGCGUGGGGAGCAAACAGG